This is a non-coding RNA of Taeniopygia guttata (zebra finch), 1862 nucleotides long. NCBI's taxonomy places the organism in Eukaryota, Metazoa, Chordata, Aves, Passeriformes, Estrildidae. The record is from RefSeq and is a predicted model, not a curated record.
UUAGAGCCAUUCCCCUUGUCCUAUGCAAUCCAGGCAGGAGUUUUUACUGACUCACCAAAAUGAGUUGCCUGAGAACAAGGACAGACAGCUGCAAGAGCAAUAUUUUAAACCUCCUUACACAACUUCCCAGAAUAAGCUUAUAGGACUCUAAUCCUUUUGAUUUAAAGCUCAGAGUAACUACUCACAUCAGAACACCUUCUGCUCUUGUUUGCAGUACUCAGAACCACUGUGGGUUUCCAACAGGUUCCACAGAAGCCAGAGAGCAGACUUUUUCUGUAACAUGUUAUUUUUGUGCAUCUAUUUAGCAGGAAGAACACACUCCCACAAAUAACCUAACCUAUUCAUGGAAAUAAUGAUUUUGUAGACCUGGCUUAAAGCCUAUGGGAUUUUUGUGAUCCCAGAGCCCACUGGAAGAGGAUACUCAGCUUCUGAUGGUGGGUAGGACCCUCUUUGGAUCCUCUAGGUGGAAGCCAGACCUCAGAAAGGUAUCCUGACCUGUUUACAGAGUUUCUCCUCAUCUGUUCCAUCUCAAGAUCUGUAAGACUCAGACAAAGAAGAGAGGAAACUUUAAAACCAAUCCUGAGUAAGACAGCAUUACUGCAUUUUCAGUUCCUUGGUGUGCUCCUCAUGGUAAACCUUCUGUGACAAUAAAAUGUCCCCAGCCUUCCCUGGGCCUGUACAAACAGAGGCAUCUUGCUGUGCGAAGGUCACCAAGGCAUUGCUACUAAUACUUCUGUUGGAUUUUUUGGUUGUUCAUUUUUUCCCCUCCGAAUUCCCAUCUUGUUUUAGACAGCUUUCAUCUCCCCUGUCUCUUGAGCACUGUCUCACUGUGCAUCUGUUUUCCCUUUGCAUGCUCUCCCUUCCCCCUCUGUUUACUUUUAUAAGCAGACUGUUGUAUUUAUUCAAUUCCCCUUGGUUUUCUUUGAGUUUUUCAGUUCUUCCAAUCUUCUCUGCAGCUCUCCCAUUCUCUCCACUUGCCUUCCAAUCCAGAAUGCUGCUGAGGGGGCCUGUUUCCAAUUAUGUCUGUUUUGUCUUGUUUACUGGAGUUUCCUUCUCCCCUGUGUUUUACAGGAGCCACCUUUUUUUAUAUAUCUCUUUUUCCAUUUGCUGAUCAGAAGCCAGGACACUACUUCUUUUUCACUGCUGUUGCAUUUAUUCAUUUAGGUAUUUUUCCUUCCCCAAGAAGUAGAGUAGAUUUUUUUUUUUUUUUUUUUAAUGUGUAGACUCUCAUUGUAGCAACUGUUGUGGAAAUUACUUUCAUGCAUAUUAAAUUAUGGAAAAAAAGCCCAUCUUGAUAUUCUUUAAUUUUUCUUUUUUACCUCAAAAAACCUCAUCAAAUAUAGACCCGGUCCUAUUUGCCACCAGAUUUCCUUUCUGAGAGAUCCACAGACUGUGGUCACUGAGCACCAGGGUCCUCAUCAAACCUUCUUAAAUCUGCAGCUGUAAAGUCAGAAGCAUCCUUCUGAGCCAAGAGAAAAUACACAAAUUUCAAGUGCAACUUCUUGUUUAGGUCUCCUGCAGGAUUUGCCAAAACCAAACCACCUCCAGGAACUAUUCAGAUAGAGAAGUGGUUAACUCAGGAGUUUAUGAAACAAGAAACUUGGCUUCCAUUCCCGGCUCUUGCAUUCAUGUUCUUCCUACUCUUGGAAAAGUCACUUAAAACUAGGUCUGUGUGCAGACUCAGGCUGUUCCAGGCAUCAGACACUCAGGAUCUCUGUAAGCAGAUUAGAUGAAUGGAUAGGAUAAACCCAAAACAGAAAGAAGAGCUUAAAAAUACCUGGGCAAACUGGUAGAAAAUAGGAAGAUGGGCAAGACUCAGGGCUCCGAGAUUCCUGGUCCUUGAUGAAGGAAGAUAUGGUGUU